CCCGGGCCUUGUACACACCGCCCGUCACACCACGAGAGUUUGUAACACCCGAAGUCGGUGAGGUAACCCGUAAGGGAGCCAGCCGCCGAAGGUGGACAGAUGAUUGGGGUG
Molecule: ribosomal RNA, 111 nt
Filed under: uncultured bacterium
Lineage: Bacteria
Description: partial 16S ribosomal RNA
Rfam family: Bacterial small subunit ribosomal RNA
Source: RNAcentral